This 45-nucleotide non-coding RNA is filed under the name Schistosoma mansoni. Lineage: Eukaryota; Metazoa; Platyhelminthes; Trematoda; Strigeidida; Schistosomatidae. The record is from RNAcentral.
AUCCAACCAACGAGUCUUAAAUAAGACUAAACGCGAGUCUUGGAU